GACGAACGCUGGCGGCGUGCUUAACACAUGCAAGUCGAACGGUAAGGCCCUUCGGGGUACACGAGUGGCGAACGGGUGAGUAACACGUGGGUGAUCUGCCCUGCACUUCGGGAUAAGCCUGGGAAACUGGGUCUAAUACCGGAUAGGACCACUGCCUGCAUGGGUGGUGGUGGAAAGCUUUUGCGGUGUGGGAUGGGCCCGCGGCCUAUCAGCUUGUUGGUGGGGUGAUGGCCUACCAAGGCGACGACGGGUAGCCGGCCUGAGAGGGUGACCGGCCACACUGGGGCUGGGAUACGGCCCAGACUCCUACGGGAGGGAGCAGGGGGGAAUAUUGCACAAUGGGCGCAAGGCUGAUGCAGCGACGCCGCGUGAGGGAUGACGGCCUUCGGGUUGUAAACCUCUUUCAGCACCGACGAAGCGCAAGUGACGGUAGGUGCAGAAGAAGGACCGGCCAACUACGUGCCAGCCGCCGCGGUAA
Molecule: ribosomal RNA, 478 nt
Filed under: uncultured bacterium
Lineage: Bacteria
Description: partial 16S ribosomal RNA
Rfam family: Bacterial small subunit ribosomal RNA
Source: RNAcentral